RNAcentral lists this transfer RNA (86 nucleotides) under Amycolatopsis sp. CA-230715. Its description in RNAcentral is "tRNA-Ile". The record is from RNAcentral. Lineage: Bacteria; Bacillati; Actinomycetota; Actinomycetes; Pseudonocardiales; Pseudonocardiaceae.
AUCGCGGUGGGCAGGCCGGUGCGGUCCUCGUUGAUGGUGGGGAAGUCCGUCACCAGGUCGUCGAGUUCCUGCUCGGUCGCGGUCCC